CAGAUACGGGAUCAUAUCAAUUACGUGGACAAGUCGUAUGGUGGGACAACCUACGACCCCUUUAUAUGGAGCAACAGCGUUAGUCGAGAUUACUUCGAGCAGCUGGCAUGUGUGGCACCAGCGAAAUAGUGUACAUUAGAUAUGGGAACAAGUCAACUACAUCAUUAACAUGGACGCGUCGUACGGCAGGGCAACCCACGACGCCUUCAUAUGUAGCAAUAGCAUUAGUCAAGACUACUUCGAGCAGCGGGCAUGUGGUACCAGCGAAAUAGCGCACAUUAGGUAGAAGACUCCGGGUAUCCACUGCGGGAACACGGGACACCUUAUGAUUUCUGCAAGCGGCGCCGCAGAAGAAUCCCCGAGGCUAUAACGCCAUACAAAAGAAGGCGCGCUCCACUAUAGAGCUAACAUUUGGGAUAUUAAAAGUUACACCACCACCAUGGCCACUACUGUCUGAUCUGUGAUCCGUGCUGUGCCUAUACGCGAAGACCGUACUCCCGACGACGGCGAUGAAAAUAACACUGCCGGCUUUUCAAGGAGCUACAUUACCAGCUGAUAAUGCAAC
Molecule: long non-coding RNA, 565 nt
Organism: Cydia splendana
Lineage: Eukaryota; Metazoa; Arthropoda; Insecta; Lepidoptera; Tortricidae
Exons: 4
Source: RefSeq, a predicted model, not a curated record